This 496-nucleotide ribosomal RNA is filed under the name uncultured bacterium. Its description in RNAcentral is "partial 16S ribosomal RNA". It matches the Rfam family "Bacterial small subunit ribosomal RNA", at positions 28 to 506 of the family's 1533-position model. The record is from RNAcentral.
GAUGAACGCUGGCGGCGUGCCUAAUACAUGCAAGUCGAGCGGACGGACGAGAAGCUUGCUUCUCUGAUGUUAGCGGCGGACGGGUGAGUAACACGUGGAUAACCUACCUAUAAGACUGGGAUAACUUCGGGAAACCGUAGCUAAUACCGGAGAAUAUUUUGAACCGCAGGGUGCAAAAGAGAAAGACGGUCUUGCGGUCACUUAUAGAUGGAUCCGCGCUGCAUUAGCGAGUUGGUAAGGUAACGGCCUACCAAGGCAACGAUGCAUAGCCGGCCUGAUAGGGUGUACGGCCCCCCUGGACCUGACACGCGGCCCAGGCUCCUACGGGAGGCAGCGGCAGCGACUCUUCCGCGAUGGGCGGAAGCCUGCACGAGCAACGCCGCGCGAGUGAUGCAGGUCUUCGUGUCGUAUGACUCUCUUCUUGGGGAAGACCACUUUCGUAAGUAACUGUGCACGACUUACCGGUACCGAUUCAGAAAGCCCCGCUUACCUCCUU